GAUGAACGCUAGCGGGAGGCCUAACACAUGCAAGCCGAGCGGUAUUUGUUCUUCGGAACAGAGGGAGCGGCGCACGGGUGCGGAACACGUGUGCAACCUGCCUUUAUCUGGGGGAUAGCCUUUCGAAAGGAAGAUUAAUACCCCAUAAUAUAUUGAGUGGCAUCAUUUGAUAUUGAAAACUCCGGUGGAUAGAGAUGGGCACGCGCAAGAUUAGAUAGUUGGUGAGGUAACGGCUCACCAAGUCAAUGAUCUUUAGGGGGCCUGAGAGGGUGAUCCCCCACACUGGUACUGAGACACGGACCAGACUCCUACGGGAGGCAGCAGUGAGGAAUAUUGGACAAUGGGUUAGCGCCUGAUCCAGCCAUCCCGCGUGAAGGACGACGGCCCUAUGGGUUGUAAACUUCUUUUGUAUAGGGAUAAACCUACUCUCGUGAGAGUAGCUGAAGGUACUAUACGAAUAAGCACCGGCUAACUCCGUG
This 479-nucleotide ribosomal RNA is filed under the name uncultured bacterium. RNAcentral describes it as "partial 16S ribosomal RNA". It matches the Rfam family "Bacterial small subunit ribosomal RNA", at positions 28 to 507 of the family's 1533-position model. The record is from RNAcentral.